This 491-nucleotide ribosomal RNA is filed under the name uncultured bacterium. RNAcentral's name for it is "partial 16S ribosomal RNA". It matches the Rfam family "Bacterial small subunit ribosomal RNA", at positions 29 to 507 of the family's 1533-position model. The record is from RNAcentral.
AGUGAACGCUGGCGGUAGGCCUAACACAUGCAAGUCGAACGGCAGCACAGUAAGAGCUUGCUCUUACGGGUGGCGAGUGGCGGACGGGUGAGGAAUACAUCGGAAUCUACUUUUUCGUGGGGGAUAACGUAGGGAAACUUACGCUAAUACCGCAUACGACCUACGGGUGAAAGCAGGGGAUCUUCGGACCUUGCGCGAUUGAAUGAGCCGAUGUCGGAUUAGCUAGUUGGCGGGGUAAAGGCCCACCAAGGCGACGAUCCGUAGCUGGUCUGAGAGGAUGAUCAGCCACACUGGAACUGAGACACGGUCCAGACUCCUACGGGAGGCAGCAGUGGGGAAUAUUGGACAAGGGGCGCAAGCCUGAUCCAGCCAUACCGCGUGGGUGAAGAAGGCCUUCGGGUUGUAAGCCCUUUUGUUGGGAAAGAAAAGCAGCAGGUUAAUACCCCGCUGUUCUGACGGUACCCAAAGAAUAAGCACCGGCUAACUUCGUG